Molecule: ribosomal RNA, 457 nt
Filed under: uncultured bacterium
Lineage: Bacteria
Description: bacterial SSU rRNA
Rfam family: Bacterial small subunit ribosomal RNA
Source: RNAcentral
AGAGUUUGAUCCUGGCUCAGGACGAACGCUAGCGGCGUGCCUAAGGUAUGCAAGUCGAGCGAUUGCUGUUCUUCGGAACAGCGAUAGCGGCGAACGGUUGAGUAACACGUAGACAACCUGCCUCCAGGUGGGGAAUAACUUCGGGAAACCGGAGCUAAUACCGCAUGUGGCGAUGUCGGGCAUCCGAUGUUUGCUAAAGGAGUAAUUCGCCUGGAGAUGGGUCUGCGGCCUAUCAGCUUGUUGGUGGGGUAACGGCCUACCAAGGCUACGACGGGUAGCUGGUCUGAGAGGACGAUCAGCCAGACGGGGACUGAGACACGGCCCCGACUCCUUCGGGAGGCAGCAAUGAGGAAUAUUGCGCAAUGGGGGAAACCCUGACGCAGCGACGCCGCGUGGGUGAGGAAGUCCUUCGGGAUGUAAAGCCCUUUUAUCGGGGACGAGAAUGGACGGUACCCGA